GGUCCCAGUGAGCCAACUUGCGGAGCACGAGGUGGCCGCGUACAGCAAGCUGGAGGAGGAAAGGGCCAGCAAGGCCCUCGACGUCCUCAUCGACAUCUGCGCAAGUCAAAGGGUUCGUUCCUUCCUUCGUCCACACCAACCCCUCCUCCCUUCGUUUCCUCUCAUGACGAGGCGAUCCUCAUUUUGAUCCCCACCACCGCCGAGACGCUGAGCUGAACAGUCGCGUUCGAUCGGAGCAGGUCCACGCGCGCAAGGUCGUCGUGUCGGGGGACGACGCCGCGAGGGGCCUGGUCCAGCUCGUCGACGACCAUGGCGUGGCCGAGCUCGUCAUGGGCGCCGCCGCUGACCGGGGAUACACCAGGAAGUUGCGGACGCCCAAGUCCAAGAAGGCGGUGACGGUGCAGCGGAAGGCCAACCCCUCUUGCAGGAUCUGGUUCGUCUGCAAGGGAAACCUCAUUUGCACCAGGCACGUAUAUGUCUGAACAUCUUGAUGCCAUUCAGUUCACUGUAUCAUAUAGAGAUUACCAAGAAGAAACUGUUUGACAGA
Molecule: long non-coding RNA, 547 nt
Organism: Triticum aestivum (bread wheat)
Lineage: Eukaryota; Viridiplantae; Streptophyta; Magnoliopsida; Poales; Poaceae
Exons: 2
Source: RefSeq, a predicted model, not a curated record